Pangasianodon gigas (Mekong giant catfish) is the source of this 88-nucleotide non-coding RNA. The record is from the annotation of a GenBank genome assembly. NCBI's taxonomy places the organism in Eukaryota, Metazoa, Chordata, Actinopteri, Siluriformes, Pangasiidae.
AGGACUUUGGGAAUAUAGGGUUAUGGGAAUGUAGGGCUUUGGGAAUAUAGAUUUAUGGGAAUAUAGGGUUAUGGGAAUAUAGGGCUUU